This 325-nucleotide ribosomal RNA is filed under the name uncultured bacterium. RNAcentral describes it as "bacterial SSU rRNA". It matches the Rfam family "Bacterial small subunit ribosomal RNA", at positions 30 to 355 of the family's 1533-position model. The record is from RNAcentral.
AUUGAACGCUGGCGGCAGGCCUAACACAUGCAAGUCGAGCGGUAGAGAGGUGCUUGCAUCUCUUGAGAGCGGCGGACGGGUGAGUAAUGCCUAGGAAUCUGCCUAGCGGUGGGGGAUAACGUUCGGAAACGGACGCUAAUACCGCAUACGUCCUACGGGAGAAAGCGGGGGAUCUUCGGACCUCGCGCCAUUAGAUGAGCCUAGGUCGGAUUAGCUAGUUGGUGAGGUAAUGGCUCACCAAGGCGACGAUCCGUAACUGGUCUGAGAGGAUGAUCAGUCACACUGGAACUGAGACACGGUCCAGACUCCUACGGGAGGCAGCAGU